Molecule: small RNA, 315 nt
Filed under: Pan troglodytes (chimpanzee)
Lineage: Eukaryota; Metazoa; Chordata; Mammalia; Primates; Hominidae
Description: processed transcript
Source: RNAcentral
CAAGACCUCCACGGCCUUGUGUCAAGAAAUCUCCACAAAGUGACAGUGAAUGAUGGAGGGGGAGUUCUCAGAGUCAUUACAGCUGGGGAGGGUGCAUUGCCUCAUGAAUUCUUGGAAGGUGUGGAGGGAGUUGCAGGUGGUUUUAUAUAUACUAUUCAGGGACUGUGGAAACAACAAGCUUCAAUUUGUUGCUGAAGACAGAUGAUGACUGUUACAUAGACCUCGAAGCUGUAUUUAAUAGGAUUGUCCAAAAGAAUCUGGAUGGGCCUAAUUUUUGGUGGGGAAAUUUCAGACUGAAUUGGGCAGUUGACCGAA